RNAcentral lists this Y RNA (109 nucleotides) under Carlito syrichta (Philippine tarsier). RNAcentral's name for it is "Y RNA (ENSTSYG00000028087.1)". It matches the Rfam family "Y RNA". From Rfam's summary of the family: Y RNAs are components of the Ro ribonucleoprotein particle (Ro RNP), in association with Ro60 and La proteins. Lineage: Eukaryota; Metazoa; Chordata; Mammalia; Primates; Tarsiidae. The record is from RNAcentral.
GGCUUUGUCCGAAGGCAGUGAGUUUCUCAAUUAGUUGUUCACAGUUACAGAUCAAGCUCCUUGUUCAAUUCUUUCUCCUCUUCUCACUACUGCACUUGACUAGCGUGAG